AUACGGAGGAUCCGAGCGUUAUCCGGAUUUAUUGGGUUUAAAGGGUGCGCAGGCGGCCAUUUAAGUCAGCGGUUAGAUCGUGGGGCUCAACCCCAUUCUGCCGUUGAUACUGGGUGGCUUGAUUGCGGUCGAGGUUGGCGGAAUUCGUUGUGUAGCGGUGAAAUGCAUAGAUAUGACGAAGAACACCGAUUGCGUAGGCAGCUGACCAGACCGCAAAUGACGCUCAUGCACGAAAGUGCGGGGAUCGAACAGGAUUAGAUACCCUGGUAGUCCGCACAGUAAACGAUGAAUACUUGUUUUCGGCGAUAUAAUGUCGGAGGCAAAGCGAAAGCGAUAAGUAUUCCACCUGGGGAGUACGCCGGCAACGGUGAAACUUAAAGGAAUUGACGGGG
RNAcentral lists this ribosomal RNA (392 nucleotides) under uncultured bacterium. RNAcentral's name for it is "partial 16S ribosomal RNA". It matches the Rfam family "Bacterial small subunit ribosomal RNA", at positions 523 to 918 of the family's 1533-position model. The record is from RNAcentral.